RNAcentral lists this ribosomal RNA (484 nucleotides) under uncultured bacterium. RNAcentral describes it as "partial 16S ribosomal RNA". It matches the Rfam family "Bacterial small subunit ribosomal RNA", at positions 30 to 507 of the family's 1533-position model. The record is from RNAcentral.
AUUGAACGCUGGCGGCAUGCCUAACACAUGCAAGUCGAGCGGAUACGGGCAUCUUGCUCCUGGAUUCAGCGGCAGGCGUGUGUGUAAUACCUGAGCGUCUGCCUUCGAGGGGGGUAUCGCGUCCAGAGACGUGCUCUUAUACCACACGCUUCCCGAGUGAAAAAUGGGGGGAGCUUGGGACCUCGCGCUCGCAGCGGCGCCUAGGGCGGAUUAGCUAGUUGGUGGGGUAAAGGCUUACCAAGGCGACGAUCCGUAACUGGUCUGAGAGGAUGAUCAGACACACUGGAACUGAGACACGGCCCAGACUCCUACGGGAGGCAGCAGUGGGGAAUUUUGGACAAUGGGCGCAAGCCUGAUCCAGCCAUGCCGCGUGCGUGAAGAAGGCCUUCGGAUUGUAAAGUACUUUUAGUCGGAACGAAGGGCCGUCAGUUAAUACAUUGGUGUCUUGACGUUACCAAAAGAAUAAGCACCGGCUAACUACGUG